This 402-nucleotide ribosomal RNA is filed under the name uncultured bacterium. RNAcentral describes it as "bacterial SSU rRNA". It matches the Rfam family "Bacterial small subunit ribosomal RNA", at positions 355 to 774 of the family's 1533-position model. The record is from RNAcentral.
UGGGGGAUAUUGCACAAUGGGGGGAACCCUGAUGCAGCGACGCCGCGUGAGGGAAGAAGGUUUUCGGAUUGUAAACCUCUGUCCUCAGGGAAGAAGAUGACGGUACCUGAGGAGGAAGCCACGGCUAACUACGUGCCAGCAGCCGCGGUAAUACGUAGGUGGCAAGCGUUGUCCGGAAUUACUGGGUGUAAAGGGAGCGUAGGCGGGGAGACAAGUUGAAUGUGAAACCUCCGGGCUUAACCCGGAGCAUGCGUUCAAAACUGUAGCUCUUGAGUGAAGUAGAGGUAGGCGGAAUUCCUAGUGUAGCGGUGAAAUGCGUAGAUAUUAGGAGGAACACCAGUGGCGAAGGCGGCCUACUGGGCUUUAACUGACGCUGAGGCUCGAAAGCGUGGGUAGCAAACA